CACGGUUCCCAUAAUUCCCAGCAUCUACACAUCAUAGAGUAAUCACUACUCUAUGAUGUGUAGAUGCUGGGAAUUCUGGGAACCGU
RNAcentral lists this microRNA precursor (86 nucleotides) under Pelobates cultripes (western spadefoot toad). Lineage: Eukaryota; Metazoa; Chordata; Amphibia; Anura; Pelobatidae. The record is from RNAcentral.